This 470-nucleotide long non-coding RNA is filed under the name Eucalyptus grandis. RNAcentral's name for it is "long non-coding RNA (EGRA_LNC002763)". The record is from RNAcentral. Lineage: Eukaryota; Viridiplantae; Streptophyta; Magnoliopsida; Myrtales; Myrtaceae.
CCUCGAAAUUUUUCAGCAGCAGCAGCAGCGAGAUACAAGACAGUAUUGCCUUAGUUGUCCUUCCGAUUGAUCACCUAUUCCUUCUUGUGCCAUGCUCCACCAACACAACGACCACGUCAAACCAGUAGUCCUUCACCGCAAGCUGAAGCGCGGUCACCUUAGGGCGUUUGUCUCUUCGACGGACUCAGGCAAAGCGGAGAGCAGUACCUUCGUGACAUCGAGCUCUCCGUUCACGACCGCAUAAUGCAAAGGGAUUCUUCUCUCCCUUCCCUUCACAAAGCAUAGGUGUUGACCCCCAAAGUCUAGAGUUCCCUCGCUGUAAUAACUGAGAGAGAGAGAGUGGGAGUCAAGGAGGGGACGAGGGGAAGCAAAGAGGAAAAAGAGAUGGGAAAAAAAACAGGAGAGAAAGAGAGGGGAGAGACGUGAGUGUGAACGAGAGAGGGAGAAGAAAACAGAAAGGAGAAAAAGAG